Molecule: ribosomal RNA, 506 nt
Filed under: uncultured organism
Description: SSU rRNA
Rfam family: Eukaryotic small subunit ribosomal RNA
Source: RNAcentral
AGCAGCCGCGGUAAUUCCAGCUCCAAUAGCGUAUAUUAAAGUUGUUGCAGUUAAAAAGCUCGUAGUUGAACCUUGGGCCGGGCUGAUCUGUCCUCCUAAUCGAGCGCACGGAUUCGGUCGGGCCUUUCCUUCUGGGGAGCCCGAUGCCCUUCACUGGGCGUCGUGGGGAACCAGGACUUUUACCUUGAAAAAAUUAGAGUGUUCAAAGCAGGCCUUUGCUCGAAUACAUUAGCAUGGAAUAAUAGAAUAGGACAGAGGUUCUAUUUUGUUGGUUUCUAGGACCGCUGUAAUGAUUAAUAGGGACAGUCGGGGGCAUCAGUAUUCAAUUGUCAGAGGUGAAAUUCUUGGAUUUAUUGAAGACUAACUUCUGCGAAAGCAUUUGCCAAGGAUGUUUUCAUUAAUCAAGAACGAAAGUUAGGGGAUCGAAGACGAUCAGAUACCGUCGUAGUCUUAACCAUAAACUAUGCCGACUAGGGAUCGGAUGAUGUUAAUUUUUUAAUGACUCA